This 512-nucleotide ribosomal RNA is filed under the name uncultured bacterium. Its description in RNAcentral is "partial 16S ribosomal RNA". It matches the Rfam family "Bacterial small subunit ribosomal RNA", at positions 28 to 523 of the family's 1533-position model. The record is from RNAcentral.
GAUGAACGCUGGCGGCAUGCCUAAUACAUGCAAGUCGAACGAGAGGAAGGAAAGCUUGCCUUUCUGAAUCUAGUGGCGAACGGGUGAGUAACACGUAGGUCACCUGCCCAUGUGCCCGGGAUAACUUCUGGAAACGGAUGCUAAAACCGGAUAGGUAGCAGACAAGCAUUUGACUGCUAUUAACGUGGCUAAGGCCAGGAACAUGGAUGGACCUGCGGUGCAUUAGCUAGUUGGUGAGGUAACGGCCCACCAAGGCGACGAUGCAUAGCCGGCCUGAGAGGGCGGACGGCCACAUUGGGACUGAGACACGGCCCAAACUCCUACGGGAGGCAGCAGUAGGGAAUUUUCGUCAAUGGGGGGAACCCUGAACGAGCAAUGCCGCGUGAGUGAGGAAGGUCUUCGGAUCGUAAAGCUCUGUUGUAAGAGAAAAACGACAUUCAUAGGGAAUGAUGAGUGAGUGAUGGUAUCUUACCAGAAAGUCACGGCUAACUACGUGCCAGCCGCCGCAGUAA